Molecule: ribosomal RNA, 492 nt
Filed under: uncultured bacterium
Lineage: Bacteria
Description: partial 16S ribosomal RNA
Rfam family: Bacterial small subunit ribosomal RNA
Source: RNAcentral
AGUGAACGCUGGCGGUAGGCCUAACACAUGCAAGUCGAACGGCAGCACAGUAAGAGCUUGCUCUUACGGUUGGCGAGUGGCGGACGGGUGAGGAAUACAUCGGAAUCUACUUUUUCGUGGGGGAUAACGUAGGGAAACUUACGCUAAUACCGCAUACGACCUACGGGUGAAAGCAGGGGAUCUUCGGACCUUGCGCGAUUGAAUUAGCCGAUGUCGGAUUAGCUAGUUGGCGAGGUAAAGGCCCACCAAGGCGACGAUCCGUAGCUGGUCUGAGAGGAUGAUCAGCCACACUGGAACUGAGACACGGUCCAGACUCCUACGGGAGGCAGCAGUGGGGAAUAUUGGACAAUGGGCGAAAGCCUGAUCCAGCCAUACCGCGUGAGUGAAGAAGGCCUUCGGGUUGUAAAGCCCUUUUGUUGGGAAAGAAAAGCAGCAGGUUAAUACCCCGCUGUUCUGACGGUACCCAAAGAAUAAGCACCGGCUAACUUCGUG